Molecule: ribosomal RNA, 464 nt
Filed under: Vreelandella stevensii
Lineage: Bacteria; Pseudomonadati; Pseudomonadota; Gammaproteobacteria; Oceanospirillales; Halomonadaceae
Description: partial 16S ribosomal RNA
Rfam family: Bacterial small subunit ribosomal RNA
Source: RNAcentral
CCUACGGGCGGCAGCAGUGGGGAAUAUUGGACAAUGGGGGCAACCCUGAUCCAGCCAUGCCGCGUGUGUGAAGAAGGCCCUCGGGUUGUAAAGCACUUUCAGUGAGGAAGAACGCCUGGUGGUUAAUACCCAUCAGGAAAGACAUCACUCACAGAAGAAGCACCGGCUAACUCCGUGCCAGCAGCCGCGGUAAUACGGAGGGUGCGAGCGUUAAUCGGAAUUACUGGGCGUAAAGCGCGCGUAGGUGGCUUGAUAAGCCGGUUGUGAAAGCCCCGGGCUCAACCUGGGAACGGCAUCCGGAACUGUCAAGCUAGAGUGCAGGAGAGGAAGGUAGAAUUCCCGGUGUAGCGGUGAAAUGCGUGAGAUCGGGAGGAAUACCAGUGGCGAAGGCGGCCUUCUGGACUGACACUGACACUGAGGUGCGAAAGCGUGGGUAGCAAACAGGAUUAGAUACCCUAGUAGUC